This 432-nucleotide ribosomal RNA is filed under the name uncultured bacterium. RNAcentral describes it as "partial 16S ribosomal RNA". It matches the Rfam family "Bacterial small subunit ribosomal RNA", at positions 29 to 507 of the family's 1533-position model. The record is from RNAcentral.
AGCGAACGCUGGCGGCAGGCCUAACACAUGCAAGUCGAACGAACUCUUCGGAGUUAGUGGCGGACGGGUGAGUAACACGUGGGAACGUGCCUUUUGGUUCGGAAUAACUCAGGGAAACUUGUGCUAAUACCGAAUGUGCCCUUCGGGGGAAAGAUUUAUCGCCAUUAGAGCGGCCCGCGUCUGAUUAGCUAGUUGGUGAGGUAACGGCUCACCAAGGCGACGCUCAGUAGCUGGUCUGAGAGGAUGACCAGCCACACUGGACUGAGACACGGCCCAGACUCCUACGGGAGGCAGCAGUGGGGAAUCUUGCGCAAUGGGCGAAAGCCUGACGCAGCCAUGCCGCGUGAAUGAUGAAGGUCUUAGGAUUGUAAAAUUCUUUCACCGGGGACGAUAAUGACGGUACCCGGAGAAGAAGCCCCGGCUAACUUCGUG